CGCCAGACUCCUACGGGAGGCAGCAGUGGGGGAUAUUGGACAAUGGGGGGAACCCUGAUCCAGCGACGCCGCGUGAGUGAAGAAGUAUCUCGGUAUGUAAAGCUCUAUCAGCAGGGAAGAAGAAAUGACGGUACCUGAGUAAGAAGCCCCGGCUAACUUCGUGCCAGCAGCCGCGGUAAUACGAAGGGGGCAAGCGUUGUUCGGAAUUACUGGGCGUAAAGGGAGUGUAGGCGGUUUAGUAAGAUAGUGGUGAAAUCCCAGGGCUUAACUUUGGAAUUGCCAUUAUAACUAUUAGACUAGAAUUACAGAGAGGAUAGUGGAAUACCCAGUGUAGAGGUGAAAUUCGUAGAUAUUGGGUAGAACACCAGUGGCGAAGGCGACUAUCUGGCUGUACAUUGACGCUGAGGCUCGAAAGCAUGGGGAUCAAACAGGAUUAGAUACCCGAGUA
This 448-nucleotide ribosomal RNA is filed under the name uncultured bacterium. RNAcentral describes it as "bacterial SSU rRNA". It matches the Rfam family "Bacterial small subunit ribosomal RNA", at positions 329 to 792 of the family's 1533-position model. The record is from RNAcentral.